Molecule: ribosomal RNA, 269 nt
Filed under: uncultured prokaryote
Description: partial 16S ribosomal RNA
Rfam family: Bacterial small subunit ribosomal RNA
Source: RNAcentral
UACGGAAGAUCCGAGCGUUAUCCGGAUUUAUUGGGUUUAAAGGGUGCGCAGGCGGGAGAUUAAGUCGGCGGUGAAAUUUUGCAGCUCAACUGUAAAAGUGCCUUCGAAACUGGUUUCCUUGAGUGUGGAUGAAGUAGGCGGAAUUUGUGGUGUAGCGGUGAAAUGCAUAGAUAUCACGAGGAACUCCGAUUGCGCAGGCAGCUUACUAAACCAUAACUGACGCUCAGGCACGAAGGCGUGGGGAUCAAACAGGAUUAGAUACCCGUGUA